UUCUUGAGGCUAGGAGGUGCUUUUUGAUGUCAAUUAAUUUCUUCCCCUGGAAAAGUCACAUUAGAAAGCUGUUUUAUUAAUUCAGAAAUUGAUUUAGAAAUUCAGUAUCAGCAUAGUCAGCAGUUUCUGACUUAUGAAAAAUAGUGAGACCAAUAAGUAAGUGCCCAAACUAUAUGAACCAUCUUAAUUAGCAUUUUAAAAAUACUCACUUGAAGAGAAGAUUGUAAAAAGAUUAGUAUCCAUAUGAUUUUAAGAACUGGAAAUACUAAUGAAUAAUGAUUAAGCAAAAAAGGUAUGUGUGUAUACAAAUAUAUACAUGUAUAUAUGCAUGAACUAUAUUCAUUUUUAAUUUUUAAGGCUCUGUAAUAUUCAGAGAUUAAAGGGUUAUUUCUGUUGAUAGGU
RNAcentral lists this long non-coding RNA (402 nucleotides) under Bos taurus (domestic cattle). RNAcentral describes it as "long non-coding RNA NONBTAT020249". Lineage: Eukaryota; Metazoa; Chordata; Mammalia; Artiodactyla; Bovidae. The record is from RNAcentral.